CGGCCCGGGAACGGCGCCGAUCACCCAGCGACGCGCCUCUUGCCAUUUGCAUCCGAAACGACUCUCGGCAACGGAUAUCUCGGCUCUCGCAUCGAUGAAGAACGUAGCGAAAUGCGAUACUUGGUGUGAAUUGCAGAAUCCCGUGAACCAUCGAGUCUUUGAACGCAAGU
This 170-nucleotide ribosomal RNA is filed under the name Sanjappa cynometroides. Its description in RNAcentral is "Inga cynometroides 5.8S ribosomal RNA". The stretch from base 60 to 170 matches the Rfam family "5.8S ribosomal RNA", at positions 1 to 111 of the family's 154-position model. Rfam says of the family: 5.8S ribosomal RNA (5.8S rRNA) is a component of the large subunit of the eukaryotic ribosome. It is transcribed by RNA polymerase I as part of the 45S precursor that also contains 18S and 28S rRNA. Functionally, it is thought that 5.8S rRNA may be involved in ribosome translocation. Lineage: Eukaryota; Viridiplantae; Streptophyta; Magnoliopsida; Fabales; Fabaceae. The record is from RNAcentral.